Molecule: ribosomal RNA, 124 nt
Filed under: Sordaria macrospora k-hell
Lineage: Eukaryota; Fungi; Ascomycota; Sordariomycetes; Sordariales; Sordariaceae
Source: RNAcentral
ACAUACGAUCAUAGAUGGUAGGCGAAAACUCGGGAUCCCGUCCGCUCUCCCCUAGAUAAGCUACCAAUCGCCUGGCUAGUAGUCGGAUCGGUGACGACCGGUGAAUAACCAGGUGUUGUAUGUU